CUGGCGACGAGUGGCGGACGGGUGAGUAAUACUUAGGAAUCUGCCCAGUAGUGGGGGACAACUCGGGGAAACUCGAGCUAAUACCGCAUACGCCCUAAGGGGGAAAGCGGGGGAUCUUCGGACCUCGCGCUAUUGGAUGAGCCUAAGUCGGAUUAGCUUGUAGGUAGGGUAACGGCCUACCUAGGCGACGAUCCGUAGCUGGUCUGAAAGGACGAUCAGCCACACUGGGACUGAGACACGGCCCAG
RNAcentral lists this ribosomal RNA (246 nucleotides) under uncultured bacterium. Its description in RNAcentral is "partial 16S ribosomal RNA". It matches the Rfam family "Bacterial small subunit ribosomal RNA", at positions 85 to 334 of the family's 1533-position model. The record is from RNAcentral.